Canis lupus familiaris (dog) is the source of this 8029-nucleotide long non-coding RNA. RefSeq lists it as uncharacterized. The transcript has 7 exons. The record is from RefSeq and is a predicted model, not a curated record. NCBI's taxonomy places the organism in Eukaryota, Metazoa, Chordata, Mammalia, Carnivora, Canidae.
AGAGGCCAGGUUUACACCAUUUACUGUGAGCCAUGAGGUUGGAGUGGCAGCCAAGGCACCAACCCACAAAGGGUUCCAGAAAUGGUUUGAAGAGCCCAGUGUUUCUCGUACAAAAUGGAAGGUCAGCCACCAGGAGUAGUACUCUUAUUAUCAAAAGAAAUCAAGGCUGGAUGAUGGGAGGCUGAAGACGGCUCAAUACAAAGGCAUGAUCCCUUGCCAAGUUCUAGUCAGUGUUCAGGCCUGGGACUGUCUAGUCUUUGAAGAGGAGGCCAGGUCCCCAGAACAAAGGACCAUGAUCAGAACUAUCAUGAUUGUGGAGGCCAAGUGGAGGCCUCUGUACCUGUUUCCAUCCCUGGUCAAAAUAAUACCGUUUGGAUUCACAUGGAGCAGACAACAGUAUGCAUUUCCCAUUGCUCCAGGGUUGUACCUUUCCAGUCUGUCAUAGUUCACGUACCACCUGGGUAUCUGAAGAACAUUGUGCCGAUUUGCUCCUCUGAUAGCUUGUCAAUGGAGUUAGAUUACAGGAAAUGUCUGGCACAUUGGAAGCCUUGGUAAGAAACGUGCAUUCCAUUGUUGGAGAAGAUGCCUGUGAAGAUUCAAUUAUCUGCCACAUGAGAACAAUUUUGAGUGCCCCAACAGUUGGGGACAUGCUGGUUCCUAUCAUCCAAAGUAAAACAUGAGUUAUACCACUUGAAUCUCCUGCAGAGAAGGAAGCACAAUGCCUGAGAGGACUUUUCAGGUUUUGGAGACAACAUAUUCCACAUCUCAGAACACUCUCUGCCUUGUAUACCAGGUGACACAAAAGACUGCCACUUAAAAAAAAAAAGGUUUUAUUUGUUAAAGAAGGAGAGCACAGGGCAGGAGCAGAGGGAGAGGGAGAAGCAGGUUCCCUGCUGAGCACGGAUCCCAACACCGGGCACGAUCCCAGGACAUUGAGAUCACAACCUGAGCCAAAGUUCCCAACGCAGGGCUCCAUUCUAGGACGUUGAGAUCACGACCUGACCAAAGUCAGACUCUUAACUGACUGAACCCAAAAAGACUUCGACUUUUGAGUGUAUCCCAGAAUAGGAAAGUUCUCUGCAGAGCAGCAGAGUCUAAGCUGCAGUUGAAAGCAGCCUUGUUACUUGGGCAUAAGACUGAGCAGAUCUCAGAAGAUUGGGUGUAUCAUGGGUAGGGAACGAUACCUUCCAGGAGUCUGGAGCAAACCCAUGCUGUCCACAGAGGUGGCUCGGAUAUGUUUCAUAAAGCCGUUCCUGUAAUGCUGCUGGGCCCUGGUGGAAGACCGUUGGACAUGACAUGACCGCAUGCCCAGAACUGCAUCUUGUGAGGUUGGUGGAGAUGAGUGGACAAGACCCUCUCAAUCUCUUGGAUCUUGCAGCACAGAGCCUGCGGAAUGAGAAGGCCUCAGCUGUACGUGACCUGGAAGAGCUCCCUGUGGGCCUUUUCCCAACUCUGUCCACAGCAGCCUUUGAUGGGGGACACACGAAGACUGUGACAGCAAUGGUGCAGGCCUGGCCCUUUCCCUGCCUCCGUCUGGGACCGUUAAGAGAUCAGUCAAGAACUCAAGACCUCUUGGAAGCCGUCCUGGAUGGGCUGAAUUGGUUCCUCCUAAGGCUGUUUGGCCCAGGAGAUCAAAGCUGAAGGUGCUGGAUUUUACCCAUGACGUUGAGCACUCCAACUGGGAGGAGUGCUCGGAGGCUACUCCUGCACCCUUUGUCAUCACUCACAUGCUAGAAGAGCCGGAGGCGGACAAGCUGACACCCAGUUACAAAGAACAGCCUUAGCAUCACCGAGAACCCGAGGAAAUACACAGAGACCUUUUCCUAGGUGGUUUGUUCGGCUUCUUCCACCUGUCUGGGUUCCCCUCGUACAUACUCCAGAGAGUCGAGAAGAACCAUGGCGGUCUGCGCCUCCACUGUCAGACACUGGUCAUUGUCCAAGUGCCAUUCCUCAGCCUUGUCGAGAUCCUGGGGAUGCUGGAGCUGGAGACCAUCCGGGAGCUGAGGCUUCAUUACAGGAGUACGUUCUGCUCCCGUUCUGACCUAAUCCAGUUUUUUUACCUGCGCAAGGGUAAAUGAGCAACCUGGGCAACCUCAUCAUGAACGACAUCCCCUGGGAUUUCCCUGCAGACUGUUUCUUUUUGCUGAGUCCACUGGGCCGCCUCUAGAAGCUCCAUCUCAUCUUUGGCUGUCUCUCGGGCCAGCUGCAUAAGAUGCUGAGUGAGUGUGCGACAAGUCCCUCUGAAGGGCCAGGGGCCAGGAUCCCUGGAGUCGUCCCUGAACCCCGCUGCGUCGGAGCAGAGACAAGCCUGGAUUUCCAAUCCUGUGAGGCCGCAGAGUCACUGAGGACACAGACUGCAAGGCUGAGGUCUUGGACCAGCCAGUGGCUGUCGAUUGCUAUAGAAGAGAAAGAUGCAGGUCUGAAAUUGGCCUGUCAUUCACUCUUUCAUUCAUUUUCACGCACUCAGUCCGUGCCAAGCAGACAGCUAAGAAUGGAUAUGAAACUCUGACCAAACUCAGGGUCUCGUCUUCCUAGAGCUUAUGUAGAGAAAGUGAACCAGGAUGGUAGGUUGUCAGGGUGGUGUUUGAGGGAGGGAACUGCCCCCUCACCAAUGUCUAAGCUCAGCUGAUUUGAUGAACUCCUUCCUCUCUUUUGUGUCUCACAGACUUCUCUGUAGCCUGCCCCCCCCUACCCCCCCCCCCGAAUACAGAGCUGUUCUCCUGGGGCCUGGUCUUUGAGUAAAUAGAAGCAUGGGGAACCAUCUUCCCAAAUUCUCCAGCCAGUAAAACCUAUGCUUUACCAUGUGUAGGAGCUAUAGCUAAAUUUCAUUAAUUCAGCCACACUUUGUGGAGCAUGUGCGAUAAUUGUGUUGAUGGGGCUUAUUAGGAAGCUAAGGCUGAGAGGUGCCUGACUCCAUAGUCUGCAAACAGAGAGGUCCCAUGGCCAGCGGGGAUGGGUUUCACUCCACACUCUGUGGUCUUAACCACUACAGAAGCCUGGCUCCCACCAUGUGCAUCCAGACUCGGGUAGGCAUUGUGCCAAUUUCUCAGGCCAGAUUUCUGGAUCUUUCCCAAAUGUAUCUAGUGGGACACUCGAGUUUCCAAGAAGUGACUGUGUCUGUCUGUCCACAAUGGCCUGCAAAACCACUGGAGACGCUGGUGAUCAAUGGAUGCAGGCUCAUUGAGAAUGACAUCACCUACUUGUCCCAGAGCAUUCGUGCCACCCUGCCUGAAGGAGUUGGUUCUCUGUGGCAAUAACCUGUCCCACACGGUUCCUGGGCCCCUCCAGGUUCUGCUGGGGGAGGUGUCUGGCACUCUACAGCACCUGAACUUGUGCAGCUGCCGGCUGAAGGAAGCCCAGCUCCGAACCCUGCUUGCCUGCUCUGUGCUGCUGCUCGAGCCUCCCCUCGCUCGUGUUCUACGACAAUGUCAUCUCCACAUCGGGCAUCACGAACGUGCUUCAACAGUUAGGAGGGUUGAAGGAGCUGAAGCGUGUGCAGUCCCCUGUUCCUGCUGAAUGUGUUGUAUACUUGGAUGAAUACAGGUGGGGGAAGCUCAACAGAGUGGAACUCUCCCGGGUGCACGCCAAGUUGCAGGAAAUGUUGCAACCACCCCAGCGGGCCGACAUGGAGUCAACUAAUUCUACCUCAGUGGCCUGACAAUGAAAACGCACAGCUGACCUGAUGGGGAAGAGGAGCAGCAUCUGUCCUGGAGCUGUGGUUGUGGAUUUCCCGGAUGGUGUGGCUUCAAGGAAAACUAUCAAAACAAGAAAACACAACCAACGCUCCAGUGGGGACUGCUGUUUCUGGAUCCAGCUGGGGCUCAAUUCUUCAUGAAAUCGACAAGCACUGGUCAAACAUGGACACUGUGCAAGUGUUCUGAUGCUGCGUAUAAAAGGACAACUUCGCCUGACACUGGUACUUCUAGUCUGUUUACCCAGUUUCCCUUUCAUUAUGCUUCAGUAUUCCCACUUUGAACAACACGCAGUUGGGUGAGUUAAUUCUCAAAACAUUAGUUUAUAAAGUGAGGUCAAUGAAAUGUUCAUCAAAGGAAUAGGUGAACGUGAUACGAUCAACACGGAGCGUUCAUUCAACUAUUUAUUCAAAUAUUUGUUGACUUCCUGUUUUGUUCAGAAACUGCUCUCACCGGGAAGACGGUGUAAACAUUCGGGGUGUCUGCUCUCCAAGAACUUAGCUUUGAAAGAGGAUGGGGCCCACUAAACCAAGUCAGCAGACCCGUAAGAAAGCUGGUUUCAAAGGAGCGCUGUAAGAAUGACAGAAGGAAUACCAGUCUGAUGAGGGCUUAUUGGAGUUAGGAGCACUAUGAGAUGAUUGAGAAUAUGCAUCAGUCUCUGCCCUCAGUUGCUGGCACAGAGCUCCUGAAACCUUGUCAUUUCCUAAGUAAUAACACUAGGAACAUCCUCUGUUCCAGCAUUUGGUCUUUGACCCCCAUCCCUGACAGAGGGCUUUUGUUCUUUUAAGAUUUUAUUUAUUCAUGAGAGAGACAGAGAGAGAGAGAGGGGCAGAGACACAGGCAGAGAGAGAAGUAGGCUUCCGCCCAGGGAGCCCGAUGUGGGACUGGAUCCUGGGACACUAGGACCACGCCCUGGGCCAAAGGCAGGGUAACCCACUGAGCCACCCAGGAGUCCCCAGAGGGCUCUUGAAAGCUUUAUAAAUUCCCAAGUGAUAAGGGUGCUAGGAUCAUCUUUUGUUCUAAUGAGGUGGCUCAGGCUGUGCUCUCAGAUGACUCCCAGAUGGGACUGGUCCCCAGAAAGAUGAGGCCAUGAUUACGAGCUUGGAAUUUUAGGCCCCAUCCCUCAUCUUCCAGAGCAGGGAAGAGGGGCUGGAAAUGGAAUGAUUGAUCAUGCCUAUGUGAGGAAACCUUCCUAAAACCCCAGUCAUAGGGGAUUUGGAGAGCUUCCACCUAGAUGUACCCCAACACCACAAGGACAGAAACUCCUGCACGUCCUCCCCCCGCCAGGACUUCACCCUGUGGAAAAAUCGCCUCACGCCUAAAGUGUCAGAAGUCACUUGUGUGAAGAGUAACGGAGACACAGGAGAGACUCCCAGCAGGGAAGCCCCAGGUUUUUCCCUUUGAAGGAGGUUGCUCACCUCUGCUCUUCAGAUCUGGGGUUUUUGAGCUGAGGCCGGUUAUCCUAGAGCCGCUAUUGUCUGGAGCAAGUCCCUGGUGCCUCGCAGGCAUGUGUCCUGGUCUUCCGCUGCCAACAGGGUAUCAUGUACAUAUUGCAAUAAGGUCGAAUGAGGGUGCUCGGACUGGAACUCACCCAAGUCUUCGUGUAAGGCCUCAUCGAAGAUGGUCAGUGAAUUUUUGAAUCCUUGUGGCAGUCGAGUCCAGGUGAGCUGGCCAUUGAUGCCUUUCUCGGGGUCUGUCCAUUCAAAGGCGAAAAGGUCUUGGCUCUUGGUUGCUAAAGGCAGGCUGAAAAAGGCGUCUUUUACAUCUAAUACAGUAAAGCAAAGUUUGUGUGGAGGCAGGGUGGAUAGGAAGGUGUAUGGGUUUGGGACCGUAGGGUGCAUAUCCUCCACUCGCCAGCUGACUUCCCUUAAGUCCUGGACUGGCCUGUAAUCAUUAGAGUGCGGUUUCCGCACCGGCAGAAGAGAGUGAGUGUUCCAUGCCGACUGGCAAGGUCUCAAUAUGCCCAAGUCCAUUGGUUACCAUAUGUGGGGUGUGGUUCCCGUAUGGGCUAUGGGAGGCAUGGGGUAUUGGCGGACCCUGACAGAUCUGCCCCUGGCUUUAGUUCUAUGUAAAUGGCCAGUCGGUGCCAGGCAAGCCCAGUUCCCCCAAUUUCUGCCCAUGCUUGGAGAAAUUCCUGCAUCCAAUGGUCAAUGUCAGUCACUGGGGCCGAGGGCAUUUGGUGAAGACGAUAUUCGUCUUCUAAACUCAGGACAAGCACCUGAAUCGGGUGCCCCUCCUUGUUUAGGAUUUUUGCCCCUUCGGGGUGGAAGCAAAUUUGUGCCCCCAUCUUGGUGAGCAAGUCCCAACCUCACGAUGGGUAGGGACACUCAGGGAUGACCAUGAAGGAGUAGGACACCCGGCCCAUGCCUAGAUCCACAGUUGUCCGGGUAGUCCAUGAGUACUGUUUGGUGCCCGUGGCCCCUUGCACCCAUGAAGUUUUGCUAGCCAAUUUACCUUGGGGUUGUAAUAAAACCGAAUGUCGUGCCCCAGUGUCCACUAGAAAUUCAGCGGGUUGCCCCUCCACUCUGAGAGCUACCCUGGGCUCAGGGAGGGGCGCCGAACCCCGACUCCUCUAGUCGUCCAUGUCCUCUAUCUCCAAGUUUUUGGUAGGGGCCUUGGGUCUUUUGUUAGGGCAGUCUUUCACCCAGUGGCCCUCCUCCUUGUAAUAAGCACAUUGGCUUUUGUUCAGUUUAGGGCACUCCGGAUGGGAACCAGGGCCAUCGUCCUUACCUGUCCCUGAAGCCAGUUUCUUGAGGUAUCUCCGACUUUCCCGUGGGUCGUCCAUGGUUGUGGCCAGGAGGAUCUUGGCUAGGUUUCGGGUCUGCCGGUCACUUAGUUUGAUGCUCUUCCAGACUUUAUUAUUAUAGACUUUUUCUGCUACUAUUACUAAGUCCUGCAAGCUCUUCUCCCCCGGUCUCUCUACUCUUUGCAAUUUCUUUUUAAUGUCCGGAGCGGCCCGGUUAACAAAGGCCAUGAUCAUUGCGGCCUUCGUUUCUGGGGCUCCUGGGUUCAUAGGGGUGUACUGCCUAAAAGCCUCUAUGAUCCUUUCUAAGAAGGCUGCUGGACUCUCAUCCUUACCUUGUCUUACUUACAUCAUACACCUUGGCCAGAUUUGUAGGCUUGCCGGGAGGACGGAAGUCGGCAGGCGUAAGGGAUGUCUCCCAAGACCCUUGGUCGACGGUCUGCCAGCACAACCGCCUAAGCCAGUGUCGACCUAAUACAGAUUGGAAUUCCUACAGGUAAAAAUACAGUUUAGAGCUCUCGGGAAAUAUGCGCGCAAAAGGUGGAAAAAGUUGAGUAUACUCUCCAUGCCUGGCACCCUCCAGAUGGGGUCCUAGGGGUCUCUUGGAUCCCGGACGAGCCCCCAAAUGUUGUGCCCAAGAUUGCAUAUCUGAAAAACCACCAAGGAGCCGACAGCGAUGCAAACACAUGAGGAUUUAUUUACAAUCUCGAGCUUGGGUCCAAGUAUAUACCCGACACGACAGAGCAGGGGUUUGGACCCUGAGGUGGGUUACAGCUGGGUUUUUAUGGGCUGCUCUAGGGGUUUAAGAUGGUAGCCAGAGAUCUUCUCUCUCUCGGCCUCCACAGAAAGAGGCUUGCUUUCAGUACUUGAGAGGGUCUAACUAUAGCCCAUCCGGCCUCACUUAUUCCCUGCUCUACAAAGCAUCUGCCAUCAGUAUACAGAUUCCACUCAGGAUUGUCUAGUGGAGUCUCCUGCAGAUCCUGCCUGGCAGCAUCAUCUUGCAUUAUCAUUUGUUCACAGUCGUGUUCCAGUUUAGCAGCCUCCUCUGGCAAGAAAGUUGCAGGAUUUUAAGAUGUACAAGUUGUAAUGCAAAUAUGGGGUUUCUCUAGGAGUAAGGCUUGAUAUUUCAAGAGGCGACUAUCAGCCAGAAGCCUCCUUUUGAUUCCCAUAGUCUUGUUACAUUAGGAGGGGGGUAACCAGUUCUUUCUGCCCCCAAGGUUAUCUUAGUAGCUCCAGGUAUUAGAAGCUCAAUGGUGCUGCCACCCGUAAACAAGCCGGCCCUCCUUUUGGCACCAUGUCUGAUUCUUUGCUUAGGUAUCCUGUCGGUUGCUGAGUUGAUCCCCUCGUCUGGGUCACAACUCCAAAUGCUAUUCCCUUUCUUUCUGUAACAUACAAGUUAAACUCUUUUCCUACAGGAAAUUAGAGCUGGAGCUUUUAAUGAAGCUUGUUUAAGUUUGUAAAAGGCCCAGAUGCCUGAGUGGCUAAGCUGUUGAGCAUCUGUCUGCCUUUGGCUCAGGGUGUGAUCCCAGGGUUCCAGAAUAGAGUCCCGAAUCCAGCUUCCUGAAUGGAGCCUGCUUCUCCCUCUGCCUAGGUC